AUCUGCCAUGCCCAGGCUGCACGUUGUCCGCCGCUAUCGCUGACGGUGGGUUCUGGCCCCACGCAGGCCGCAUGUCGGUGUCUGCUUCGUGGGUUCCGAUGCCGCUCUUGCGAGUUGGGCGUCCCGUUGCGGUGGGCAAGGGCCCCCUUUUCUCUUCGAUGUUGGCCUUUUCUUCUUCUCAUGCUUCUCAUUCUGUGCACGCUCGCUUCGCCCACUGCUGCGCGCUCUAUUCGUCUCCUCGCUUCAUCCCGUUCGAGCGCCCUGUCCUCCGGCUCUGCCAUCCGUUCCUCCAUGGGUGCUGUUGGUUGAGCUUGCUUGGAUUUCACGUUGGCUCUUUCGUAGGAGCGUGGGUGGUUCCGUCCUUGCUGUCCAGCAGCUAUCAAUGGACGCAGAAGACAUUUGUGCCUUAUUUUCUAACUAGAGCUAGAGCCGUACUUUUACAGCAGCUACCAAUGGACGCAGAAGAGAUACGUGCCAUAUUUUCUCCGGCCGAAGAACAUUCCGUCAAUGACCAGACUAAAGAACAGCCGGAUGAGGGAUGAAGUGGCAAGCAUGGAAGUAACCCACAGUCAGUUUUCUUCAUAUGCGGCAUGGUACAAACAAUAUGAGGUUUACUGGUUUUGGUUCACACAGAACAGCUCCAGGCUUAGGGUGGACUUUGUAGGAGCAUCAAGUUGGUGAAUGUGAAGCUAUAUGACUGGGUUCUCCAUUCCUAUUUUUACGCAUUUUGUUCAUCCUCAAAAUAGUUCCUGGCCGGCUCAUUUUUACAUGUGUGGUUGUUGUUAUUCAAGAGAAUUGAAUUAGUGAAAUGGCUGGUGUUGGUUAAUAUAGUGGCCACUCAAACCCGCUCUACAUAGUUGAAUUUUUAGAUCUUUCCAAUGAUGUCUUUAACUUCAUAUCAGAUUCGGAUUUUUAUCCUGUGUCACUUGCUGGGUUUUUUCAAUUACUUGGUAGUCGUGCA
Triticum dicoccoides is the source of this 961-nucleotide RNA transcript. RefSeq lists it as uncharacterized. NCBI's taxonomy places the organism in Eukaryota, Viridiplantae, Streptophyta, Magnoliopsida, Poales, Poaceae. The record is from RefSeq and is a predicted model, not a curated record. The transcript has 5 exons.